CAGCCGCUUUCAGGCUGAGCUGAAGUGCAGGGGGCGCCGCUGAAGCAGGUCCGGCUGAACUCGUGUUGAGGUCCUGCUGCAUCUGGUUUUCAGUUAAAUCGCCUCGUUUGUUUUCCUCUGUUCUUUUGUUUGUUCGCAUCUGUGAAUAUUCUCGGUGGAUCUGCCCGUUUUGGUGUCCUGGCUGCCCUUUUCUCCCCCCUCGUCCACUACGACCACCCCUGCAGUCGCUCCGCUGCGUCCAGUGGUGGAGACCCACAGAAGUCCUACAGCAGCAGACUGAGAGUUUCUGAAGAACACUGGAGAGAGGAGCUGGAGAAGAACAGCUGCUGGUGGGAAAAUGGAUUACCAGAAGAACAGAAACAGAAGAUGUAAGAGGAGAGAAAGAAGAACAGAGCCUUUAACUGGUGAAGAGGUGAAGAGAGAUAUCCAGACAUUACUGAGUCUGAGAAACCCCCCAGAGAGCUGUACAGACGGAGAGAAAGAACCUGAUGACUGUGAUGUGAGGAGAGAGAGAGAGAGCAGUGAAAUAAGGAGGAGCUCCACACUGGAUCUACUCACUGAUUUUAGAGGUUUCCACCAAAGUUCACGCAGCUCAGAUGAAGAAAGCUGGAGGAUUCAUGGUUUAAUCCGACUGUGUUUGAGAAAACCUGAUGGUUUCUGUUUAAACUGGACUGAUUUAGUAGAAGGUGUUUGAGUUCAACUCUUUAUUUUAAUCAGAUUUCCUCACAAAUAUCAGCCUUGCUGAGCCACAGAUGCUGCACCUGUUACUCACAGUGAUGAGUUAUUUCUAUGUAAAUUCACUGUAGUUGUUCUGUAUGUACUGUUCGUUCUGUUCACUGAAACAGUCAGUAUUGUUCAUCUGCAGAAUUCACUGAAUAUGUUCCCUAUAUCUGCAAUAUUUUCUUCUUUUUAUAUUUUUGCAUGUACUUGAUCUAAAUUCACCAGACACUUUAUUCAUAAUCUACAGAAAGUGUUAUUUUAUGUGUUUUUCAUUUCUGUGUUUCAUGGAUUAUUAUUACGGCAGUCUAACGUGACGCUGCUGAAGAAGUCUGAAAGUGUUUCUUGGCCAAUAAAAAUGUUUGCUCAAACAUAGUUUUAUACUCAAAUAAACAAACUCACUGAAAUAAUGA
Pygocentrus nattereri (red-bellied piranha) is the source of this 1130-nucleotide long non-coding RNA. RefSeq lists it as uncharacterized. NCBI's taxonomy places the organism in Eukaryota, Metazoa, Chordata, Actinopteri, Characiformes, Serrasalmidae. The transcript has 4 exons. The record is from RefSeq and is a predicted model, not a curated record.